RNAcentral lists this ribosomal RNA (497 nucleotides) under uncultured bacterium. Its description in RNAcentral is "partial 16S ribosomal RNA". It matches the Rfam family "Bacterial small subunit ribosomal RNA", at positions 28 to 507 of the family's 1533-position model. The record is from RNAcentral.
GAUGAACGCUGGCGGUGUGCCUAAUACAUGCAAGUCGAGCGAACAGACGAGGAGCUUACUCCUGUGACGUUAGCGGCGGACGGGGUAGUAACACGUGGAUAACCUCCCUAUAAAACUGGGAUAACUUCGGGAAACCGGAUCUAAUACCGGAUAACAUGUUGAAUCGCAUGGUUCAACAGUGAACUACGGUCUUCCUGUCACUUAUAGAUGGAUCCGCGUGGAAUUAGCUAGUUGGUAAGGUAACGGCUUACCAAGGCAACGAUGCGUAGCCGACCUGCGAGGGUGACCGGCAACACUGGAACUGAGACAAGGUACAGACUCAUAGGGGAGGCAGCAGUAGGGAAUCUUCUGCAAUGGGCGAAAGUCUGAAGGAGCAACGAAGCGUGAGUGAAGAAGGUCUUCGGAGCGUAAAACUCUGUUAUUAGGGAAGAACAAAUGUGUAAGUAACUAUGCACGUAUUGACGGUAACUAAUCAGAAAGCCACGGCUAACUACGUG